RNAcentral lists this long non-coding RNA (425 nucleotides) under Homo sapiens (human). RNAcentral describes it as "long non-coding RNA NONHSAT065954". Lineage: Eukaryota; Metazoa; Chordata; Mammalia; Primates; Hominidae. The record is from RNAcentral.
GCCAGCUCCCGUGCCAGGAUAUCACGCAGCAUCUCCCUCGGUGACAGUGAGGGCCCUAUCGUGGCCACACUGGCCCAGCCCCUCCGUAGGCCAUCGUCCGUUGGGGAGCUGGCCUCCUUGGGCCAGGAGCUUCAGGCCAUCACCACCGCGACAACACCCAGUUUGGACAGUGAGGGCCAAGAGCCUGCCCUGCGUUCCUGGGGCAACCACGAGGCCCGGGCCAACCUGAGACUGACCCUGUCAAGUGCCUGUGAUGGGCUCCUGCAGCCCCCCGUGGAUACCCAGCCUGGCGUCACCGUCCCUGCAGUGAGCUUCCCAGCCCCUAGCCCUGUGGAAGAGAGCGCCCUGAGGCUCCACGGCUCUGCCUUUCGCCCAAGUCUCCCAGCUCCUGAGUCCCCUGGCCUUCCUGCCCACCCCAGUAACCC